GCAGAUGCAGUGAUACUGCAGUGAUUGCAGUGCGCCUGUAGUGCCACUUCAGCUGGAUCCAGAGUGCCUGCAGGGGUUGGAGUGCCUGUUGCAGUGUCCCUGAACUUGGCUGCAGUGCCGAUGCCAUGGUUGCAGUGUCACUGAAGGUAGAUGCAGUAUGUUGUGAUGGAGGAUGCAGUGCCCAUGAAGGUGGAUGCAGUGAUCCUGCAGUGGUUGCAGUGCCCCCUGCAAGGUGCCUGAAUGAGAAUGCCAUGCCCUUGCAGUGGAUGCAGUGUCGCUGAAGGUAGAUGCAGUAUGUUAUCAUGGAUGAUGCAUUGCCCAUUAAGGAGGAUGCAGUGAUUUUGCAGUGAUUGCAGUGCACAUGCAGUGACAAUUCAGCUGGCUGCAGUGUGCCUGCAGUGGUUGCAGUGCCCCCUCUGUAUCUCUGAAUACGAAUGCAGUGCCCAUGAAGUGGAUGUAGAGUACCAAAAGAUGGAUGUGAUAUGUUGUGGCAGAGAAUGCAGUGCCCAUGACAUGGCAUGCAGUGUUCCUGCACUGGUUGUUGUGCCACCUUCUGUGUCCCUGAUUGUGGAUACAGUGUCCCUGCAGUGGUUGCAGUGUUGCCAGCAUUGUCCAGGAAUGCAGAUGCAAUGACAAGGCAGUGGAUGCUGUGUCACACAAGUUGGAUGCAGUAUGUUGUGACAUAGGAUGCAGUGCCCAUGAAGGUGGAUGCAGUGAUCCAGCAGUGGUUUCCGUGCACACUGUAGUGUCCCUAAAUGUGCAUGCAGUGAACAUGAAUUGGAUGCUGUGAACAUUCAGUGAUUGCAGUGCACCUGCCAUGCCACUUCAGCUGCAUACACUGUGCCUGCAGUGGUUGCAGUGCUGCCUGCAUUGUCCGGGAAUGUGGAUGCAGUGCCCAGGCAGUGUAUGCAGUGUCACACAAGUGGAUGGAGUGUCCCUGUAGUUUUUGCAGUGCCCCCUGUAUUAUCACUGAAUGUGGAUGCAGUGCCCUUGCAGUGGAUUCAGUGACCCAAAUGGUGGAUGCAUUAUCUUAUGACAGAAGAUGCAUUGCCGAUGAAGGAGGAUGCAGUGAUUCUGCAGUGAUUUCAGUGCACCUGCAGUGCCACUUCAGCUGGCUGCAGUAUGCCUGCAGUGGUUGCAGUGCUCCCAUUCUGAGUCUCUGAAUACUAAUGCAGUGCGCAUAUAGUGGAUGCAGAGUACCAAAAGAUGGAUGUGGAAUUUUGUGACAGAGG
Molecule: long non-coding RNA, 1232 nt
Filed under: Equus caballus (horse)
Lineage: Eukaryota; Metazoa; Chordata; Mammalia; Perissodactyla; Equidae
Description: lncRNA (ENSECAG00000056469.1)
Source: RNAcentral